UCCCUGGUGGUCUUAGUGGCUGAGACUCUGCGCUCCCAAUGCAGGGAGCCUGGGUUCAAUCCCUGGUCAGGAAA
Molecule: non-coding RNA, 74 nt
Organism: Bos taurus (domestic cattle)
Lineage: Eukaryota; Metazoa; Chordata; Mammalia; Artiodactyla; Bovidae
Source: Rfam